CCUACGGGGUGGCUGCAGUGGGGAAUAUUGGACAAUGGGCGAAAGCCUGAUCCAGCCAUGCCGCGUGUGUGAAGAAGGCCUUCGGGUUGUAAAGCACUUUCAGUGGGGAAGAAAGCCUUGGGGCUAAUACCCUCGAGGAAGGACAUCACCCACAGAAGAAGCACCGGCUAACUCCGUGCCAGCAGCCGCGGUAAUACGGAGGGUGCGAGCGUUAAUCGGAAUUACUGGGCGUAAAGCGCGCGUAGGCGGUCUGAUAAGCCGGUUGUGAAAGCCCCGGGCUCAACCUGGGAACGGCAUCCGGAACUGUCAGGCUAGAGUGCAGGAGAGGAAGGUAGAAUUCCCGGUGUAGCGGUGAAAUGCGUAGAGAUCGGGAGGAAUACCAGUGGCGAAGGCGGCCUUCUGGACUGACACUGACGCUGAGGUGCGAAAGCGUGGGUAGCAAACAGGAUUAGAUACCCCGGUAGUC
This 466-nucleotide ribosomal RNA is filed under the name Vreelandella stevensii. RNAcentral's name for it is "partial 16S ribosomal RNA". It matches the Rfam family "Bacterial small subunit ribosomal RNA", at positions 338 to 795 of the family's 1533-position model. Lineage: Bacteria; Pseudomonadati; Pseudomonadota; Gammaproteobacteria; Oceanospirillales; Halomonadaceae. The record is from RNAcentral.